RNAcentral lists this ribosomal RNA (490 nucleotides) under uncultured bacterium. Its description in RNAcentral is "bacterial SSU rRNA". It matches the Rfam family "Bacterial small subunit ribosomal RNA", at positions 501 to 989 of the family's 1533-position model. The record is from RNAcentral.
CUACGUGCCAGCAGCCGCGGUAAUACGUAGGGUGCGAGCGUUGUCCGGAAUUAUUGGGCGUAAAGGGCUUGUAGGCGGUUUGUCGCGUCUGCCGUGAAAUCCUCUGGCUUAACUGGGGGCGUGCGGUGGGUACGGGCAGGCUUGAGUGCGGUAGGGGAGACUGGAACUCCUGGUGUAGCGGUGGAAUGCGCAGAUAUCAGGAAGAACACCGGUGGCGAAGGCGGGUCUCUGGGCCGUUACUGACGCUGAGGAGCGAAAGCGUGGGGAGCGAACAGGAUUAGAUACCCUGGUAGUCCACGCUGUAAACGUUGGGCACUAGGUGUGGGGGCCACCCGUGGUUUCUGCGCCGUAGCUAACGCUUUAAGUGCCCCGCCUGGGGAGUACGGCCGCAAGGCUAAAACUCAAAGGAAUUGACGGGGGCCCGCACAAGCGGCGGAGCAUGCGGAUUAAUUCGAUGCAACGCGAAGAACCUUACCAAGGCUUGACAUGC